RNAcentral lists this long non-coding RNA (320 nucleotides) under Amborella trichopoda. RNAcentral's name for it is "long non-coding RNA (ATRI_LNC000526)". The record is from RNAcentral. Lineage: Eukaryota; Viridiplantae; Streptophyta; Magnoliopsida; Amborellales; Amborellaceae.
GUCCCUCCACGAGCUCAUCUGCCAUAGCUCAACUACCAACUGCUACUACCAGCUGCAACUCCAGUUCAUCUACUACUGAUACAAUGGUCUCGACCAGCAAGAGCAUAAAGUGAAGUCAGUACACCAACCUUCCAGUCCCGAGUUCAACAGCCCAUUAUGCCGAGUAGCUAGAUAAGUGAAUGCUCAGCUGCAACUCCACUACUACCAUCAUUAUUCAUUCCCUCGUCUUCCACUCAAAUAGAAACUAUACUACUCUAUACUACUAGGUAAGAAGCGGCACUCUCCCUCUUGUUUCGGCUUUUCAACUAUAAUAUAACAUA